UACGUAGGGCGCAAGCGUUAUCCGGAAUUAUUGGGCGUAAAGAGCUCGUAGGCGGUUUGUCGCGUCUGUCGUGAAAGUCCGGGGCUCAACUCCGGAUCUGCGGUGGGUACGGGCAGACUAGAGUGAUGUAGGGGAGACUGGAAUUCCUGGUGUAGCGGUGAAAUGCGCAGAUAUCAGGAGGAACACCGAUGGCGAAGGCAGGUCUCUGGGCUGUUACUGACGCUGAGGAGCGAAAGCAUGGGGAGCGAACAGG
RNAcentral lists this ribosomal RNA (253 nucleotides) under uncultured bacterium. RNAcentral's name for it is "partial 16S ribosomal RNA". It matches the Rfam family "Bacterial small subunit ribosomal RNA", at positions 524 to 776 of the family's 1533-position model. The record is from RNAcentral.